This is a long non-coding RNA of Dreissena polymorpha, 487 nucleotides long. RefSeq lists it as uncharacterized. NCBI's taxonomy places the organism in Eukaryota, Metazoa, Mollusca, Bivalvia, Myida, Dreissenidae. The record is from RefSeq and is a predicted model, not a curated record. The transcript has 3 exons.
AGAUUUGAAUUCGGCGAAUGUUUCGACGACUUCACCCGUCCCUGCUAAUAAUUCUUUGACUGCGGAAUACGGCCACGACACAAGCACAAAGCCAACGAAUAUUACAAUAUCAACGAAUGUGACGACUACAGCAAACCAAGCUCCUGUCCCAUCGAGCUUGUCUGCUGGUCAUAUUGCGGCAUGGGUCAUAGGAGCAUGCGCACUUGUAGCGUGUAUCGGCGCUGUGCUGUAUCUGCUGCGGUGUUCCUCAUUAAAGGCGAAACUCCUCUUUGCAACAAAACGCUCAGAUCUUAGUUUCGAUAGCGCUUUAUUUUAAAAGGACGGGGACGAACCUGUCAUGCUACAGUGAUUGCCACUUGAAAAUACUAUCAUGCUGAAACGAUGAUGCAUUUCAUGAACAAAAUUUUUCGAGAUGGCAUUUAGGAACGUUGUCGACUCCAGCAAAAUCCUGAUCUUGAAAAUUGUUUAUAUUGAUUGUGCUUAAUUG